UUUGCGCAGUCAAAUUGCAUUGACUGUAUAAUCAUUUCUUAUCAUUUUUUUAUGUACAGUCACUGACUGUAUAUAUAUAUAUAUCUCCCUUUUUAUGAUAAUAAGCUGGUUCUCGGCUGACUACUUCACUUUGUUCAUCAGUUUCAGUGAAGCGUAAUACAAGUGGAUUCCAGUUUUAUGUGACCGGUUGACAAUUCGUUUCCGUUGAGUUUUAUUUAUGACGUCAUUCCCGGAAUUUUUACGUCAUUCGCUCCAAAUUCAAUAAUGAUGCUUUUUAUCCUAAAUAUUUCAUCUGGAACCAUAUAUUUAGA
RNAcentral lists this long non-coding RNA (311 nucleotides) under Mytilus galloprovincialis (Mediterranean mussel). Lineage: Eukaryota; Metazoa; Mollusca; Bivalvia; Mytilida; Mytilidae. The record is from RNAcentral.